Cebus imitator (Panamanian white-faced capuchin) is the source of this 671-nucleotide long non-coding RNA. RefSeq lists it as uncharacterized. NCBI's taxonomy places the organism in Eukaryota, Metazoa, Chordata, Mammalia, Primates, Cebidae. The record is from RefSeq and is a predicted model, not a curated record. The transcript has 3 exons.
CAACGGCUCAAAAGGCCCUGGGCCGAGGGCGUCCCCACUUCCUCCUUGUGUCCUGAGGGCCAGCUCAGCACCCAGAAACUUUGGAGUCUCCCAAAACGCUGCUGAGUCUCUGCAGGACUGGCAUCGGUCACGGGAACUUGUCUGGGAGGGACGAGAACACGCUUUGCAGAAGGAAGCUCUGCCUCCCAGAGUCCUGGGCUUGCUUGGGCACCCCAGCCAGCAGCUGCUUCCUCUCCCCACAGUGGAGACAGACCCAAGGGUCCCAGGGCAGAUGCUUCCCCCAGUCCAGGCCAGCGUGCAGGGUGAGCUCGUAAGUCCUGAUUGACAUGCGGUCAGUGGUUCAGAGAGGUUAUACUACUUGCUCAAGGUCACCCAGCUCCCAGGCCCCUGCUGUCUUCCCAGCCGCUGAGUCCUAAGCGUCCUUCCAGGUGGGCCGCUGCUCACAGCCUGUUCUCACAUUCUGCAGCAGCCUCAUCUUCCUGGAGUACAGCCCUGUGGUUGGUGGAGCAACUUCUCCAGCCCCUGGGAUUCCUAAGAAGACCCAGGAACCCCACUGCUGGUAGAGGGGGAGCAGCCAACCCAGGACAGGACAGCUGACCCCACCCCUGCCCCACCUCCCACACCAACAACCUCAUUCCCACCUGCUGCUGCUUUUUUUUUUUUUUCUUGGA